Molecule: ribosomal RNA, 914 nt
Filed under: uncultured archaeon
Lineage: Archaea
Description: bacterial SSU rRNA
Rfam family: Archaeal small subunit ribosomal RNA
Source: RNAcentral
GGUCCGGGAUAACCCCGGAAACUGGGAUAAUACCGGAUAACGCAUAUGUGCUGGAAUGCUUUAUGCGUCAAACGGAUUCGUCUGCCCAAGUGGGCUGCGGCCUAUCAGGUAGUAGUGGGUGUAAUGUACCUACUAGCCGACAACGGGUACGGGUUGUGAGAGCAGAGCCCGGAGAUGGAUUCUGAGACAUGAAUCGGCCCUACGGGGCAGCAGGCGCGAAAACUUUACAAUGCGGGAAACCGUGAUAAGGGGACACCGAGUGCCAGCAUCAUAUGCUGGCGUCCGGGUGUGUAAAAUACACCUGUUAGCAAGGGCCGGGCAAGACCGGUGCCACGCCGCGGUAACACCGGCGGCCCGAGUGGUGAUCGUGAUUAUUGGGUCUAAAGGGUCCGUAGCCGGUUUGGUCAGUCCUCCGGGAAAUCUGAUAGCUCAACUAUUAGGCUUUCGGGGUACUGCCAGACUUGGAACCGGGAGAGGUAAGAGGUACUACAGGGGUAGGAGUGAAAUCUUGUAAUCCCUGUGGGACCCCUGUGGCGAAGGCGUCUUACCAGAACGGUUCGACGGUGAGGGACAAAGCUGGGGGCCGAACCGGAUUAGAUACCCGGGUAGUCCCGCCGUAAACGAUGCUCGCUAGGUGUCAGGCAUGGCGCGACCGUGUCUGUGCCGCAGGGAAGCCGUGAAGCGAGCCACCUGGGAAGUACGGCCGCAAGGCUGAAACUUAAAGGAAUUGGCGGGGGAGCACAACAGGUUAAUUGGAACGCCGGACAACUCACCGGGGACGACAGCAAUAUGUAGGCCAGGCUGAAGACCUUGCCUAAUCGCGAGAGGAGGUGCAUGGCCGUCGCCAGUUCGUACUGUGAAGCAUCCUGUUAAGUCAGGAACGAGCGAGACCCGUGCCACUGUUACCAGCAUGU